Molecule: ribosomal RNA, 498 nt
Filed under: uncultured bacterium
Lineage: Bacteria
Description: partial 16S ribosomal RNA
Rfam family: Bacterial small subunit ribosomal RNA
Source: RNAcentral
AUUGAACGCUGGCGGCAUGCCUUUCACAUGCAAGUCGAACGGUAACAGGUCUUCGGAUGCUGACGAGUGGCGAACGGGUGGGUAAUACAUCGGAACGUGCCCGAUCGUGGGGGAUAACGAAGCGAAAGCUUUGCUAAUACCGCAUACGAUCUAAGGAUGAAAGCAGGGGACCGCAAGGCCUUGCGCGAACGGGGCGGCCGAUGGCAGAUUAGGUAGUUGGUGGGAUAAAAGCUUACCAAGCCGACGAUCUGUAGCUGGUCUGAGAGGACGACCAGCCACACUGGGACUGAGACACGGCCCAGACUCCUACGGGAGGCAGCAGUGGGGAAUUUUGGACAAUGGGCGAAAGCCUGAUCCAGCCAUGCCGCGUGCAGGAUGAAGGCCUUCGGGUUGUAAACUGCUUUUGUACGGAACGAAAAGACUCUGGUUAAUACCUGGGGUCCAUGACGGUACCGUAAGAAUAAGCACCGGCUAACUACGUGCCAGCAGCCGCCGUAA